UAACGCCUAACAGCUAGCCUAAACCAAACUUAAGAUUUACAUAAAGUUAAAGCUUACAAUAACUAAAAUAAAUCAUUUUAAACCCUUAGUAUGGGCGACAGAAAAGGAAAAAAGAGCUAUAGAUAAAGUACCGUAAGGGAAAGCUGAAAAAGAAAUGAAAUAAACCAUUUAAGCGCAGAGAAGCAAAGCUUAUAGCUUGUACCUUUUGCAUCAUGAUUUAGCAAGUAAAACACAAGCAAAGAGCCCUUUAGUUUGUGACCCCGAAACUGAGCGAGCUACUUCAAGACAGCCUAUAAUUAUUUAGGGCAAAUCCGUCUCUGUGGCAAUAGAGUGGAGAGAGCUUCAAGUAGAGGUGAUAAGCCUACCGAGCACAGUUAUAGCUGGUUGCCUGAGAAAUGAAUAGGAGUUCAGCCCUUUAAAAUUCCCUCAUCCCAUAAGUUAUUACACAAUUUGAUAAAGGAAAUUAAAGGAGUUAUUCAAAAGGGGCACAGCUCUUUUGAUAAAAGAAACAACUUUUACAGGUGGCCCAAGAUCAUACUAUCAAAGGAUUUUAACCUAAGUGGGCCUAAAAGCAGCCAUCUAAUAGAAAGCGUUAAAGCUCAAAUUAAAUAUCAUCUUGAUAUCCCGAUAAAAAAUCUCCCUCCCUGUUAAUCUACCAGGCUGUCUUAUGCUUUCAUAAGAACAAUUAUGCUAAAAUGAGUAAUAAGAAGAAUCUAAUUCUUCUCCUGACACGUGUGUAUGUUGGAACGGACCCCCCACCAACAGUUAUUCGACCCCAAACCAAGAGGGCCAUAAACUAUCUAAACAAGAAAACCAUUUAGAAUUUAUCGUUAACCCCACACAGGUGUGCCCCAAGGAAAGACUAAAAGAGAAGGAAGGAACUCGGCAAACACAAGCCUCGCCUGUUUACCAAAAACAUCGCCUCUUGCUUAAGCAAAGUAUAAGAGGUCCCGCCUGCCCUGUGACGAAAGUUUAACGGCCGCGGUAUUCUAACCGUGCGAAGGUAGCGUAAUCACUUGUUUUUUAAAUGGAGACCAGUAUGAAUGGCAUCACGAGGGCUUAACUGUCUCCCUUCUUUAGUCAAUGAAAUUGACCUUCCCGUGCAGAGGCGGGAAUAACUAUAUAAGACGAGAAGACCCUGUGGAGCUUUAGACCUAAAAUAAAUCACAUUUAGCAUACUAUAAUAACAGUAAAAAUCUAGUGAAAAAUUAUUGAAGUGUCUUUGGUUGGGGCGACCAUGGGGUAAAACAUAACCCCCAUACGGACUGGGGAUACUAUCCCUAACACCCAGAGCCUCCGCUCCAAGUAACAGAAUAUCUGACCUUACGAUCCGGUUACCCGAUUAACGAACCGAGUUACCCCAGGGAUAACAGCGCAAUCCCCUCCCAAAGCCCUUAUCGACGAGGGGGUUUACGACCUCGAUGUUGGAUCAGGACAUCCUAAUGGUGCAGCCGCUAUUAAGGGUUCGUUUGUUCAACGAUUAAAGUCCUACGUGAUCUGAGUUCAGACCGGAGUAAUCCAGGUCAGUUUCUAUCUAUAAAGAGCUUUUUUAUAGUACGAAAGGAUCUAAAAGAGGAGGCCCAUACAUUUUGCACGCCUCUCCCCCAACCCCUGAAACCCAAUAAAGUGGGCAAAGAGGCUUAAAAAUUCGGCCCCGAGAAGGCUCGUUU
Molecule: ribosomal RNA, 1670 nt
Filed under: Physiculus japonicus (Japanese codling)
Lineage: Eukaryota; Metazoa; Chordata; Actinopteri; Gadiformes; Moridae
Description: 16S rRNA
Rfam family: Bacterial large subunit ribosomal RNA
Source: RNAcentral